AACGCACAUUGCGCCCUUUGGUAUUCCGAAGGGCAUGCCUGUCUGAGCGUCAAUAAAUCAAUCAAACCUUGGUUUGGUAUUGGGAGAAGAGGUUUUUGCCUCUCUCCUUUAAGUUAUUGGCGACGCUAUUUCAGCUUGUAAGACGUAGUAAGUAAUUUCUCGUUAAAGCAACUGUAUGGCUGUCUGCCAAAUGAACGAUUUAUUUUACAGCUUGACCUCAGAUCAGGUAGGGAUACCCCCUGAACUUAA
RNAcentral lists this unclassified non-coding RNA (249 nucleotides) under uncultured Ascobolaceae. RNAcentral's name for it is "sequence contains ITS2". The stretch from base 1 to 52 matches the Rfam family "5.8S ribosomal RNA", at positions 103 to 154 of the family's 154-position model. The record is from RNAcentral. Lineage: Eukaryota; Fungi; Ascomycota; Pezizomycetes; Pezizales; Ascobolaceae.